UAGCGGCGAACGGGUGAGUAACACGUGGGCAACCUGCCCUCAGCUCUGGGAUAACUCCAAGAAAUUGGUGCUAAUACCGGAUGUGACCGCUGACCGCAUGGUCUGGUGGUGGAAAGAUUCAUCGGCUGAGGAUGGGCCCGCGGCCUAUCAGCUUGUUGGUGGGGUAGUGGCCCACCAAGGCGACGACGGGUAGCCGGCCUGAUAGGGUGACCGGCCACACUGGGACUGAGACACGGCCCAUACUCCUACGGGAGGCAGCAGUGGGGAAUAUUGCGCAAUGGGCGAAAGCCUGACGCAGCGACGCCGCGUGAGGGAUGACGGCCUUCGGGUUGUAAACCUCUUUCAGUAGGGACGAAGCGAAAGUGACGGUACCUACAGAAGAAGCACCGGCCAACUACGUGCCAGCAGCCGCGGUAAUACGUAGGGUGCAAGCGUUGUCCGGAAUUAUUGGGCGUAAAGAGCUCGUAGGCGGUCUGUCGCGUCGGCUGUGAAAACCCGAGGCUCAACCUCGGGCCUGCAGUCGAUACGGGCAAACUAGAGUACUGCAGGGGAGACUGGAAUUCCUGGUGUAGCGGUGAAAUGCGCAGAUAUCAGGAGGACACCGUUGGCGAAGGCGGGUCUCUGGGCAGUAACUGACGCUGAGGAGCGAAAGCGUGGGGAGCGAACAGGAUUAGAUACCCUGGUAGUCCACGCCGUAAACGUUGGGCGCUAGGUGUGGGGGCCAUUCCACGGUCUCCGUGCCGCAGCUAACGCAUUAAGCGCCCCGCCUGGGGAGUACGGCCGCAAGGCUAAAACUCAAAGGAAUUGACGGGGGCCCGCACAAGCGGCGGAGCAUGUUGCUUAAUUCGAUGCAACGCGAAGAACCUUACCUAGGCUUGACAUGCACGGAAAUCUCGUAUAGAUACGGGGUGCCUUUGGCGUCGUGCACAGGUGGUGCAUGGUUGUCGUCAGCUCGUGUCGUGAGAUGUUGGGUUAAGUCCCGCAACGAGCGCAACCUCGUUCUAUGUUGCCAGCACGUGAUGGUGGGGACUCAUAGGAGACUGCCGGGGUCAACUCGGAGGAAGGUGGGGAUGACGUCAAAUCAUCAUGCCCCUUAUGUCUAGGGCUGCAAACAUGCUACAAUGGCCGGUACAAAGGGCUGCGAUACCGCGAGGUGGAGCGAAUCCCAAAAAGCCGGUCUCAGUUCGGAUUGGGGUCUGCAACUCGACCCCAUGAAGUUGGAGUCGCUAGUAAUCGCAGAUCAGCAACGCUGCGGUGAAUACGUUCCCGGGCCUUGUACACACCGCCCGUCACGUCACGAAAGUCGGUAACGCCCGAAGCCGGUGGCCCAACCCUU
RNAcentral lists this ribosomal RNA (1336 nucleotides) under Modestobacter multiseptatus. RNAcentral's name for it is "16S ribosomal RNA". It matches the Rfam family "Bacterial small subunit ribosomal RNA", at positions 93 to 1443 of the family's 1533-position model. The record is from RNAcentral. Lineage: Bacteria; Bacillati; Actinomycetota; Actinomycetes; Geodermatophilales; Geodermatophilaceae.